GUGAAUCAUCGAAUCUUUGAACGCAAAUUGCACUCUCUUCGGAUAGUAUGCCUGUUUGAGGGGCAGCCUAAAAAAAAUCGACAUAGUUACUUUUACGCGGUAACAUUCGUCGGAACUUGGGUCACCUUUAACCCUGGGGUUUAGGCGGCUUAAAAUUUUCUUUACAAUUCCAAGAACGUUACUAGGAAUUUAUUUUCUUAUACGUUUAAAGUAUCAAUCUUUAUUAGUCGUGUCCGUUGCAU
RNAcentral lists this unclassified non-coding RNA (242 nucleotides) under Glomus sp. RNAcentral describes it as "partial contains 5.8S ribosomal RNA and internal transcribed spacer 2". The stretch from base 1 to 65 matches the Rfam family "5.8S ribosomal RNA", at positions 84 to 154 of the family's 154-position model. Lineage: Eukaryota; Fungi; Glomeromycota; Glomeromycetes; Glomerales; Glomeraceae. The record is from RNAcentral.